This is a non-coding RNA of Pelobates cultripes (western spadefoot toad), 366 nucleotides long. Lineage: Eukaryota; Metazoa; Chordata; Amphibia; Anura; Pelobatidae. The record is from the annotation of a GenBank genome assembly.
GUAACAUAAUAUAAUUUUAGAAGGGAGUGGGACUGGAAAAAAGUAGCCAAUUAAAUGCAUACUGCCAGACAAAACUGUAUAAUAAAAAAAAGCAUAAACUAAACUCAAGGUAGAGCCAGCAAUCCCUCAGUGCAAAAUAUAUCCAGACAUUCUAUAGGCCAGCCAUUCAGAGGUCAGCCAGGCCACCACCCUGUCGGCCAUCUUAAAAGACACUGACACUUACAGCCUGCACCUGCUAGAGUUAGGAGUGGCCCUGUCUUCCUCCAGCUUCUCAACUGAACUAACUAUGGAUCUAGUGGAUGGGGGCACUGGCCACUGUGACCAGGAGAAUUCAGAAGCAAAUGGGAGAAGCAAGGGAAAGCAAAG